GAUGAACGCUAGCGGCAGGCUUAAUACAUGCAAGUCGAGGGGCAGCACGAAUAGCAAUAUUUGGUGGCGACCGGCGCACGGGUGCGUAACACGUAUACAACCUACCUAUAACAGGGGGAUAGCCUUUCGAAAGAGAGAUUAAUACCCCGUAAUACAUGAGACGGCAUCGUUUUAUGUGGAAAGCUCAGGUGGUUAUAGAUGGGGAUGCGUCUGAUUAGCUAGUUGGUGAGGUAAUGGCUCACCAAGGCGACGAUCAGGAGGGGAACUGAGAGGACUACCCCCCACACGGGUACUGAGACACGGACCAGACUCCUACGGGAGGCAGCAGUAAGGAAUAUUGGUCAAUGGGCGCAAGCCUGAACCAGCCAUGCCGCGUGCAGGAAGACGGCCCUAUGGGUUGUAAACUGCUUUUGAACAAGAGAAAACCUCGGUACGUGUACCGAGCUGAUAGUAUUGUUAGAAUAAGCAUCGGCUAACUUCGUGCCAGCCGCCGCCGUAAGAC
This 502-nucleotide ribosomal RNA is filed under the name uncultured bacterium. Its description in RNAcentral is "bacterial SSU rRNA". It matches the Rfam family "Bacterial small subunit ribosomal RNA", at positions 28 to 526 of the family's 1533-position model. The record is from RNAcentral.